UGUGGUUUAGAUUUUAUUUUCUCUUUGUUUUUAAGAGUGGUGUUAGAUUUACAGGAAACGAAGCGAUUCAUGAUAUGAUAUUAACCACUUUAUAGUAAGAUUAUCAUGGUAACAGCAUAUGUUACUUGUUGGCUAAGCUAAGUGAACUCCUACAUUGCUCAUCUUAACAAAACUUUGAUUGGUUGCUAAGACUGAAGCUAAUGAGAUCAUCAUUUUUCGUUUUUUAGAUGUGGAAUGUA
This 239-nucleotide unclassified non-coding RNA is filed under the name Hevea brasiliensis (rubber tree). The record is from RNAcentral. Lineage: Eukaryota; Viridiplantae; Streptophyta; Magnoliopsida; Malpighiales; Euphorbiaceae.